UACGAAGGGGGGCUAGCGUUGCUCGGAAUCACUGGGCGUAAAGCGCACGUAGGCGGAUCUUUAAGUCAGGGGUGAAAUCCCAAGGCUCAACCUUGGAACUGCCUUUGAUACUGGGGAUCUCGAGUCCGGAAGAGGUUGGUGGAACUCCGAGUGUAGAGGUGAAAUUCGUAGAUAUUCGGAAGAACACCAGUGGCGAAGGCGGCCAACUGG
RNAcentral lists this ribosomal RNA (210 nucleotides) under uncultured bacterium. RNAcentral's name for it is "partial 16S ribosomal RNA". It matches the Rfam family "Bacterial small subunit ribosomal RNA", at positions 524 to 732 of the family's 1533-position model. The record is from RNAcentral.